This 458-nucleotide ribosomal RNA is filed under the name uncultured bacterium. RNAcentral describes it as "partial 16S ribosomal RNA". It matches the Rfam family "Bacterial small subunit ribosomal RNA", at positions 338 to 795 of the family's 1533-position model. The record is from RNAcentral.
CCUACGGGAGACUGCAGUGAGGAAUAUUGGUCAAUGGGCGAGAGCCUGAACCAGCCAAGUCGCGUGAGGGAGGACUGCCCUAUGGGUUGUAAACCUCUUUUGUCGGGGAGCAAAAGCCGGACGGGUCCGGCUGUGAGAGGACCCGAAGAAAAAGCAGCGGCGAACUCCGUGCCAGCAGCCGCGGUAAGACGGAGGAUGCGAGCGUUAUCCGGAUUUAUUGGGGUUACAGGGGGCGCAGGCGGAUUUUUAAGUCAGCGGUCAAAGCGUGGGGCUCACCCCCAUCCAGCCGUUGAAACUGGGGAUCUAGAGUGUGCGAGAGGUAUGCGGCCUGCGUGGUGUAGCGGUUACAUGCUUAGCUCUCACGCAGAACCCCGAUUGCGAAGGCAGCAUACCGGUGCACACCUGCCGCUCAGGCACGACAGCGUGGGUAUCGAACAGGAUUAGCUACCCCGGUAGUC